This 828-nucleotide long non-coding RNA is filed under the name Eucalyptus grandis. Its description in RNAcentral is "long non-coding RNA (EGRA_LNC001069)". Lineage: Eukaryota; Viridiplantae; Streptophyta; Magnoliopsida; Myrtales; Myrtaceae. The record is from RNAcentral.
GGUAAGUUGAUCUUUGCAUGCGAUCCGCCGUUGUCCCGAGGAUCCCGCUUUGGCGACACUGAGAUAGCCGACUAGAGGUCGCCUCCGGCCGUUGUCGCCCAAGCCAGGUAGGGUCCCCGCGGCCGCGCGCCCCGGUGCCCCGUUAUUCCCCUUAUUUUUGCUCUGUUUUGUCCUGUUUUGGACACGUGGGGGCCGGAGCUCGCGGCCGUCAGGUUCACGCGAUCACCGGUCCCGUCGGUCCCAUGCUCUGUCGUUAUCAGUCUUUGGUUGUCUUCCUUCGAGAACCCCCUGUGCGAUUUUGACUCCCGUUUGUGUAGGAAACUCCACUAUCAGGGUUGCACGUCACCUGUUUGUGAAAAUGCCUCCACUAGAUCCCCAAACUUUUUCUUGUGUCUAAUUUGCUUCGCGUGCAUCCUAUGUUUUGUGCCGUGACAGGUUUGUGGAGGGAUAACGUCUGUGGGAGCUGGGAGUCGGCCUGCCCGAGGACAACUCCGUCCUGCUGGUUCGCGGUCGCAUUGGCCGACGUCGCCAGGGCACCGACUUCAACCAAUGGUGGAGUCGGGUCUAUCACGGUUUGGUCUGAGUCGAGUCUGUCGAGAAUAGAUCGCUCACGAAGAUGUUCCGGGUAGCCGAUGGGGUGGUCGUUGGAGGAUCCGGUGAUUCUUGAUUUAAUAUAGGAUAAUCGACGUUUUGUUGUUCUGGGCUUAUUGGACGUCAAUGGUUCUGGGCUUGCACUUUGGGCUCAUUUAGACUUAGUGAGUCUUGGGCUUGAAGUGUUAAUUCGGCGAAUUCGGGCUUCAUUUUUAUUACAAGGAUAGUGACUGUUGG